RNAcentral lists this ribosomal RNA (461 nucleotides) under uncultured bacterium. Its description in RNAcentral is "bacterial SSU rRNA". It matches the Rfam family "Bacterial small subunit ribosomal RNA", at positions 28 to 371 of the family's 1533-position model. The record is from RNAcentral.
GAUGAACGCUGGCGGCGUGCUUAACACAUGCAAGUCGAGCGGGCAAUUUAUCUAGCACUGAUUACUUCAAAUGGCUAUCGCCAGUGUAAUCAUGAAUUUCUACCUUUUAAUAAAGAAAAAGAAAUUCAUGUAUGCAAAUAGUGAUAACACAUGAAAGUGGAGUGAUGAGUGCUGGAUAAAUUGCUAGCGGCGGACGGGUGCGUAACACGUGGGUAACCUGCCCCUAUCACUGGGAUAACACACUGAAAAGUGUGCUAAUACCAGAUAACAUAAGCUUUUGGCAUCAUUAGCUUAUCAAAGAAUUUCGGAUAGGGAUGGGCCCGCGUCUGAUUAGCUAGUUGGUGAGGUAACGGCUCACCAAGGCAACGAUCAGUAGCCGACCUGAGAGGGUAAUCGGCCACAUUGGAACUGAGACACGGUCCAAACUCCUACGGGAGGCAGCAGUGGGGAAUAUUGCACAA